Molecule: ribosomal RNA, 253 nt
Filed under: uncultured bacterium
Lineage: Bacteria
Description: partial 16S ribosomal RNA
Rfam family: Bacterial small subunit ribosomal RNA
Source: RNAcentral
GACGUAGGGCGCGAGCGUUGUCCGGAUUUAUUGGGCGUAAAGAGCUCGUAGGCGGCUCAUUGCGUCAACCGUGAAAACCAGCAGCUCAACUGUUGGCUUGCGGUUGAUACGGGUGGGCUGGAGUUCGGUAGGGGAGACUGGAAUUCCUGGUGUAGCGGUGGAAUGCGCAGAUAUCAGGAGGAACACCGGUGGCGAAGGCGGGUCUCUGGGCAGUAACUGACGCUGAGGAGCGAAAGCGUGGGGAGCGAACGGG